CCUACGGGAGGCAGCAGUGAGGAAUAUUGGUCAAUGGACGCAAGUCUGAACCAGCCAUGCCGCGUGCAGGAAGACGGCCCUAUGAGUUGUAAACUGCUUUUAUAUGGGAAUAAAAUGUUCCACGUGUGGGAUUUUGUAUGUACCAUAUGAAUAAGGAUCGGCUAACCCCGUGCCAGCAGCCGCGGGUAUUCCGAGGAUCCGAGCGUUAUCCGGAUUUAUUGGGUUUAAAGGGAGCGUAGGUGGAUUGUUAAGUCAGUUGUUAAAGUUUGCGGCUCAACCGUAGAAUUGCAGUUGAAACUGGCAGUCUUGAGUACAGUAGAGGUGGGCGGAAUGCGUGGUGUAGCGGUGAAAUGCUUAGAUAUCACGAAGAACUCCGAUUGCGAAGGCAGUUCACUGGACUGCAACUGACACUGAGGCUCGAAAGUGUGGGUAUCAAACAGGAUUAGAUACCCCAGUAGUC
This 460-nucleotide ribosomal RNA is filed under the name uncultured bacterium. RNAcentral's name for it is "partial 16S ribosomal RNA". It matches the Rfam family "Bacterial small subunit ribosomal RNA", at positions 338 to 795 of the family's 1533-position model. The record is from RNAcentral.